Molecule: long non-coding RNA, 538 nt
Organism: Drosophila guanche
Lineage: Eukaryota; Metazoa; Arthropoda; Insecta; Diptera; Drosophilidae
Exons: 3
Source: RefSeq, a predicted model, not a curated record
ACAACUGAUAUUUGUCGCGAACGCCGCUUUAUAUUUUGUGUUUGAUAAAAUAGCUGUUUGUUGAACAUAAUGGCCUUUACAACCAUCCGUGAAUUCCAGUUUGUUGUGCAAAGAUACAAGUAUAAUGAGCAACGCAUAUUCUGCCACACCAAAGUGCUGCCGAGCCCGGUCACUACCGUUGGCAAGAAAUCGUAUAACUAUCACUGGGUGACGCCUGCCAAGUGGAAAUUGAUUGCGGGGACCUGCUCGAUAUGGUGGGGGAGCAGCCUGUUCGGAAAUUGCAUGCAUGUGGUCACAUCCAAGUCCAAGUGGAUUCCACCGAAUAUGAGGAUUCCUAUUCAGAUGACCAUUUGCCAGGUUUUACCCCAUUGAAAAAUGAUUGCUAUCUCAAUAUGCAGCUGGAAUAUAUUGACGAUAUGGACAGCUCCAGCUCAAGCUCCAGCAGUCUAGAAAUCUCAACAUCCGAAAGCGACCAAGUGACCCGUGACCUCUCCUGAAUCCGAAUUGGUAUGCAGGAAUGAUGGAAAGUUCGUCCAAA